Molecule: ribosomal RNA, 654 nt
Filed under: uncultured bacterium
Lineage: Bacteria
Description: bacterial SSU rRNA
Rfam family: Bacterial small subunit ribosomal RNA
Source: RNAcentral
GAAAGAUGGCUUUGGCUAUCACUCUGGGAUGGACCUGCGGUGCAUUAGCUAGUUGGUAAGGUGACGGCUUACCAAGGCGAUGAUGCAUAGCCGAGUUGAGAGACUGAUCGGCCACAAUGGAACUGAGACACGGUCCAUACUCCUACGGGAGGCAGCAGUAGGGAAUCUUCCACAAUGGGCGCAAGCCUGAUGGAGCAACACCGCGUGAGUGAAGAAGGGUUUCGGCUCGUAAAGCUCUGUUGUUGGAGAAGAACGUGCGUGAGAGUAACUGUUCACGCAGUGACGGUAUCCAACCAGAAAGUCACGGCUAACUACGUGCCAGCAGCCGCGGUAAUACGUAGGUGGCAAGCGUUAUCCGGAUUUAUUGGGCGUAAAGCGAGCGCAGGCGGUUGCUUAGGUCUGAUGUGAAAGCCUUCGGCUUAACCGAAGAAGUGCAUCGGAAACCGGGCGACUUGAGUGCAGAAGAGGACAGUGGAACUCCAUGUGUAGCGGUGGAAUGCGUAGAUAUAUGGAAGAACACCAGUGGCGAAGGCGGCUGUCUGGUCUGCAACUGACGCUGAGGCUCGAAAGCAUGGGUAGCGAACAGGAUUAGAUACCCUGGUAGUCCAUGCCGUAAACGAUGAGUGCUAGGUGUUGGAGGGUUUCCGCCCUUCA